AGUGAACGCUGGCGGUAGGCCUAACACAUGCAAGUCGAACGGCAGCACAGUAAGAGCUUGCUCUUACGGGUGGCGAGUGGCGGACGGGUGAGGAAUACAUCGGAAUCUACUUUUUCGUGGGGGAUAACGUAGGGAAACUUACGCUAAUACCGCAUACGACCUACGGGUGAAAGCAGGGGAUCUUCUGACCUUGCGCGAUUGAAUGAGCCGAUGUCGGAUUAGCUAGUUGGCGGGGUAAAGGCCCACCAAGGCGACGAUCCGUAGCUGGUCUGAGAGGAUGAUCGGCCACACUGGAACGGAGACACGGUCCAGACGCCUAAGGGAGGCAGCAGUGGGGAAUAUUGGACAAUGGGCGCAAGCCUGAUCCAGCCAUACCGCGUGGGUGAAGAAGGCCUUCGGGUUGUAAAGCCCUUUUGUUGGGAAAGAAAAGCAGCAGGUUAAUACCCCGCUGUUCUGACGGUACCCAAAGAAUAAGCACCGGCUAACUUCGUG
This 492-nucleotide ribosomal RNA is filed under the name uncultured bacterium. RNAcentral describes it as "partial 16S ribosomal RNA". It matches the Rfam family "Bacterial small subunit ribosomal RNA", at positions 29 to 507 of the family's 1533-position model. The record is from RNAcentral.